UCACGUGUCUGCAGGUUUCCAUAUGUUUCCAGCGUCCAGAGAUGCUGUCACCACUGAGUGCCUCAUAAAACCCCAAGAUCCCUGGCAAGAAUCCUCCUUUGGAUUUCCUGGUCUGAUGAACAGCUGUACUUCAUUGCAGUUUGCAGACAAACUUAGCCUGGAACUGAAAUUGCUGUCUUAGAUAUUCAGAGACUUGGGACUCAGCAGGAUCUUGACACUGCACUAUUUAUAAAAGAGUAACUGUGGAUAGAUUUCAUAAUAUAAGAGCUUAUAUGGGAGAGGAACCAAAGCAAGGUAUGUGUGUGUGUGGUGCUCCCUGGAUCCCAGAAAAACGUCUGGUUUGAGCUGCUUUUUCAGGAACUCAGCUGGCCUUGCACGUCUUGAAAGUGGAG
Lepidothrix coronata (blue-crowned manakin) is the source of this 392-nucleotide long non-coding RNA. RefSeq lists it as uncharacterized. The record is from RefSeq and is a predicted model, not a curated record. The transcript has 3 exons. Lineage: Eukaryota; Metazoa; Chordata; Aves; Passeriformes; Pipridae.